This 253-nucleotide ribosomal RNA is filed under the name uncultured bacterium. RNAcentral's name for it is "partial 16S ribosomal RNA". It matches the Rfam family "Bacterial small subunit ribosomal RNA", at positions 524 to 776 of the family's 1533-position model. The record is from RNAcentral.
UACGUAGGGUGCGAGCGUUAAUCGGAAUUACUGGGCGUAAAGCGUGCGCAGGCGGUUAUGUUAGACAGAUGUGAAAUCCCCGGGCUCAACCUGGGAACUGCAUCAGUGACUGCAUAGCUAGAGUGCGGCAGAGGGGGAUGGAAUUCCGCGUGUAGCAGUGAAAUGCGUAGAUAUGCGGAGGAACACCGAUGGCGAAGGCAAUCCCCUGGGCCUGUACUGACGCUCAUGCACGAAAGCGUGGGGAGCAAACAGG